Molecule: long non-coding RNA, 5472 nt
Organism: Sapajus apella (tufted capuchin)
Lineage: Eukaryota; Metazoa; Chordata; Mammalia; Primates; Cebidae
Exons: 2
Source: RefSeq, a predicted model, not a curated record
GUGUGUAUGUGUAUGUGUGUCUCCAAAGUAGCUAAGGUAGGGAUGUGUGUGUGUGUGUUAACUUUUUGUAAGGAAGGCAUCUCAUAGCCCAGACUGGUACCGAAUUCCUGGCUUCAAGCAAUCGUCCGUCUCUGUCUCCCAUGGAAUUGCAGGCCUGGGCCAAGGCACCGGCCUUUUUUCUUUCAUUUGUUUAUUUAUGUAUUUGGUAAGCAUUUGAAAGAAGCUGGGCCUUGAUUUGGGAGUUCUCUCUUCGACUAUAUUUCGAGCUUUGCCGAGGACUUGAUGAUAAUCUUGUUUUAAGCCCUGAAAUAAAUCUUGGGGUCCCAGAGCUAUGUUAAUGUUGAAUUCGCUGUGGAGUGUUUUGAGUUCCUUGGAAGUUAAUGUGAGGUAGAGAACUAAGUUAACACAAUUCAUCAACUGCCCUUGUUUUGCUUUUAGAAUGCCGUCAGGUAUUGUCGCUUUGGGAACAAGUUAACUUAGGGCGGUUGACUAGGAUCAAGGUAUGUGAACGAGCCUGGCUCAGAGAAAAGUCCAGUAAAUGGUCGAAUUCCCUCCCAAAGCCCACAAUGUCAGCCAUCCCUGACUUUUCUUGCCUUUAUUGGGAAGAAUAUAAGGUGCGGAAAAAGCCUUCCCACCCUUUUUUCCAAAUACGUACUAAAGGAGUCAUGAGGGGCUGGGAAUGUUGUUGAACUAGUUCUUGAAAAAAAAAAAAACCAGCACAAGUAUCUUAAUUUUAUAUAUGAGGAAACUGAGGCCCAGAGAGAUGAAAUCAUGCCUUUUUCAGAUCUCAGCACCUGUUAGUGACAAAUCCAGGUACUAAAGGGAAGACAAGGAAUGAGGGACUUGUUAUUUAGCAUCAGCAAUGUGGGGCCAUCUUGUGAAAGGCUUUAUAAGCAUUUCAUUUAAUUCCCUGCAUCUAGCCAUUUUUUAACCUGUGCUUUCCCUCCUUCUCACAGGACUGUUUUUACAUUUAUUAGUCCAUAUUUUUUUUAAUUUUUUUAAUUUUUUUCUCUUAAUUCCUUCAGCAUAGUCCAUAUUUUUAAAAGCUCCAUCCUCUCAACUGUAUUAAUGCUGUUUGUUAGGAUAAGUGACAGAUGUCCCUGGAAGAUAAAUGGCUGCAAAGUGGUCAUGCUGACCCGACGAGAGAGGAAGUAUAAAAGGGAAGUUCUGAAGGACGACAGCCCUGGAGAGGGUGGGUAGACAACACCACUGCCAAAGAGUGCCCUUUCCUGAGGCUGUGUGGGCCCUCCUGCGUCCUGGGAAAACUGACUGGGGCACAUUUAUACUUGCAUGUGUGUAUUCAGAUUUUCUGGGCUAUGGAGGUUGGGUCGGAUGGCUGAACCCUUGGGAGAGGAGCUCCCUUGUCUGCUGUGAUUGCUGCUUUGUACUUUGGGCCAUACAUGAAAGUCAGCAUCCAGUCAACGAACCAUCGGAAUGUGGUGUAUCUACUCAGGCGCAUUAAGCAAUUUUUAUUUCAUUAUAAAAUGUAUAACAUUUACAUUCAAAUUAUGGUUUCUGAAGGGCUUAAAAGGAGAAAGAGACAAUGACACUAAGGUGACAGCAUGGCUGGCUGCAUGCUUCCUGUCCAGUCAGGUCGCUGGGCAGUGUUAAGUGGGGAGAGCAUCUGGAGGACUAGAGAUCAGUGUAGCCACGUACCCUCAACGAAGCAUGGUACAGCCUCUGGUCUGCCAGGAUCUCCGCCCCUCACCACCCCUACCUCCUCUGACAUUUCCACCAUAUUCCCCUUAGGUAUGUACCUGUUUGCACUUAUUGAGAUCGGCAAUCCUGGAGAGAAAGGAUACGUACUAAAACCUCGCUAGUGGUUUACCCGGGUGCCGACCCCCUCAAUGCACCCCACAUGCACACUUCAAACUCCUCCAGGCAGGUGCUCCCUCCCUGACACACAGUGACACUUUGGGGAAAAUUACAGAACGGUAACCAACUGAGCGGAGAAAUGUGAUGUCAAAAUGAUACUAAUGAGAGAUGUCAUUUCUUGAAAGCUUGCUAGCUGCCAUGUACUGCACUAUUUCUAACAUCUAAAUCUGAUAAGUUGUACCCCAUUUUAUAAAUAGACUGCUUUAACUCUGGUAAGUAAACUUAUGCAAGAUCAAAGUACUGAGAAAUGUCCUAACUGGGGAUUUGAACCUGGUUCUAAUUUCAAAGUCCAAGCUACAUCCACCCAAACCUCCUACCUGCCAUCUCCAGGACUUUGUGAAUGGAAAAGCAAGUGCUACUUCUCUCCACUUUUUCUGCCCUAAAGGAAGCUGGGAGCUAACUGCUUAGGACUGGUACUAAACUUUAAGAGAGAGAAAAGGAUGACAGGAGACUUGUUAUUUCUGUGGGGCUCAGCCCUUCGACCAGAGUAAGAAGACAAGGUUGAGGAAUAGCCAUAUGCAGAAACAAUAUGAGUAUCUAGCCACAGCAUCUCUAACACUGUGUCACUCUGGAAUCUGAAUGCAGGGACAGUUCCUCAGUAGACUGUGGAUUUAGCCCAGAGUGUGGACUAAGGGAGUGGGAAAGGGCAGAGGUAUGCCCCGAGCGCUGUAACAAGGCCUGUCCUCCAGCCUGAGGAGGAUUGGGAGGAUGGCUUGAGUCUGGGAGUUGGAGGCUGCAGUGAGCUGUGAUUGCACCACUGCACUCCAGCCCAGGUGACAGAGUGAGACCCUGUCUCUAAAAAAAAAAAAACCGACCUGGAUCUACUCAUACCCACGCUGCUCUUUGAGCAGAAAGGAUCAUUUGGGAAUUAUUUUGUCUCAUCUUCCACCAUGAUCACUGUUGAAGAAUUUGGUCACUGUAAACAGGUAAACAUAAAACUCAGGUGAACUCUAGCUAAGUCCGUACUCUUCACACUUUUUUGGCAAUAAUAGCUUUGUUUUUCAUAGAAAAAACAAAUUUUCUGUGGAACUACACUAUUUAAAACAUAAGCAGUAUUAGUAUCAACUUACAUAAUUUAUCAAAACAAUCAAGAAUAGGCUACCUUAAUUGAAUCAGGAGAUAAUUGCGGUCUUACCUCAGCCACACUCAUAUCCAUGAAAUAUGAGUCAGUCAUUUGCACAACUCCCUGAGUCACCUCCUGGAACACAAAACACUGAGCCAAGUUAGCCCAGGACCUGAACCUGGACCUGAAGGAAAAUGCGUAUUGUCUCCUCGGGGUAUGGCCACCCUGUCGCCUGGUAGUCAGUUUCUCAUGUCAGUUACAAGCAUUUCUAAGGCAGUUGUGGCAUAACUAAGACCUUCUGUGUGUUGUGCUACUGCAGUUCCUCCUGUCACUGACCUCUCCUUCAAAUGAGGCCUGCCUUUUGCCCUUGGUGGUAGGCAGUCCACAGUGUAAGCAGCUACAGGGAAAGCAUUCACUUUGAUAGUACUUGACCUUGAUUGAGGCAGGUGACUCAUUUAUGGAUAACAUUUUUGAGAAUAUACUGAGCCAGGCAUCUUGAGGAUACAAAAGUGGAUAAGAUACAGUUUCCAUUCUGGAGAAAUUCACAGUCCAGUAAGGUAAACAAUCACAAGAGCAAACUGCCAGCAGUGAGAAUGAUUGCAGCCACUGAGUGGUGAAAUCUGAGGAAUACCAAGCCUGCUGCCUAUAAAUAUCUACAUUUAUUGCCUGUGCAUAUACCUAAAAUUCCACCAUGAGAAAUCUAUUUCCAUGAAAUUAGGAACUACCCAGAAACCCUCUGUCCAAAUAAAAAUUCCCACAAGAAAAUAAGGAUGGCUAAUAGAUUUAACUAGUAGUGCCAAGUCUUUUGGACCAGAGGAACUGCCAGGGACAGUGUGUUGAGGAUUCUGAGGUCAUGUUCCCGCUUAGCAGAGAAGGGUGCUGCCAUGAGGGGAGGAGUGAGGGAGGGGAGCACUUGUGCCACAUAGCUUUUCUUAAGUUAAACCUUUGUUAGUGGAAUGCAUGAUGAAACAGGGACAGCCAGGGUCUCUGGCAUCUGGGAGAAAGCCCACUUGGAAACUGAUUUAUCCAUCUCAUCACUGCAAGUUCACCAUCUGUCCCCAGGCUAAAUGGCCUUAGGAAGCCCAGUCCCUCCCUUGCCACACUCUACCUUCUUUAUGCUUCCGUACUUUUCAAGAAGAGAAAUGGUGUGUGUGUAUGGUAUAUAUAUAUACACACUAUAUAUCAUAUAUAUGAUAUCCUUGAGAACUAGGAUGUACCUGUGAUCAGGCAGUCUAGCAUGCAGCAGGGUCAGGCAUAGGUUGAAGUGAGAGAGGAAGCUACUUUGCUCCCCAGUGACUUCUCCCACCUCCCGUAGUUUCAAGGCCUGUUUCUUGAGGAAUAGCAAUAUUCCCAGCUCAAAAAUGACAGCUGGCCAAGGGACUAAGUCUGGGCAAUAAGAUGUGAGUGGACGCUUCCAGCAAAGCUCUCUAAAAAGGCUACCUCUUCUCUGCUUCUUGGAGUGUGGUCAGGAUAGCUGGAAUUCUAGCAUCCAGUUUUGAAUGCCAGGUGACCUCGAAGAUGGAAGCCAUGAACUAGGAGAAUGUCCCCGUACAGAGUUCCUCCUCUCCAGAAUAUGCAGAAUGAAAGCAGAGUUCCUCCUCUCCAGAAUGGAAACAGAGAGUAGCCCUCGCCAGACCCCAAUUCUGCCAGCACCUUAAUCUUGGACUUCCCAGCCUCCAGAACUGUGAGCAGUAAAUCUUCAUUGUUUGUAACUUACCCAGUAGGUGUUAUUUUUUAUACCAGCACAAACAGGCUGAGACUGAUAUUGGCACUGAGAAGUGGGGGUAUUGCCACCAGCACACAACACCAGCCUGGGGCAGCCCCAGGAACAACAGAAUCCCAUAAGAGCAUGGACUGUCCUCAGCAAAGCCACCCAACCACACCCAUGUGGGACAUGAGUCAAAGAAGGUGAGAUUCAAGCUUUAAGAUUUAAUGUUGUUUGCCCUUGUUGGGUUUUGGACUUAACUGGGGACAGUUAUCCCUUUCUUCUUGCCUGUUUUUCCUUUUUGGAAUGGGAAUGUCUAUCCUAUGCUUGUCUCAACAUUGUAUUUUGGAAGUAAAAAUACAAUGUUUGGGAAAACUUGUUUGAUUUCACAGGCUUACAGCUAGAGGGGAAUUUGCAUCAAGAUAAAUGGUACUAACAGAGAAUAGCUGGGCUCCUGGCUAAACCCCACCCUUAAGCUUGGAACUGUGGCCCUAGAAACAGCUGGCCCGGUUUUUCCACCCAAAUGUUGCUUUUUUGGCCUGCCACGCUCCUAUUAUGUGCCCAUAAAGACUUCAGCGGGCAGAGCAACACAAGCAGCUGAGCAUCGGGAAUACAAGCUGCUGAGCGUUGGGGAUAUGAGCAACUGUCAGGGACUACAGAUAAACAGGGCUAACUUCAGAUGGUGCAGCUUCAGAGGGGAGCCUGGCUAGAGACGGCUGGGCUUCAGGAAAAGAUCUCCUCCUCCUGCACCAUCCCCUUUCCAACUCCCCUUCCACCAAGAGCCACUUCCAUUGUUCAAUAAAGUCUUCCACAUUCAUCGUCUUUGAAA